AUCCGGAUUUAUUGGGUUUAAAGGGUGCGUAGGUGGCUAAAUAAGUCAGUGGUGAAAGUUUGUCGCUCAACGAUAAAAUUGCCAUUGAAACUGUUCAGCUUGAGUAUAUUUGAGGUAGGCGGAAUGCGUGGUGUAGCGGUGAAAUGCUUAGAUAUCACGCAGAACUCCGAUUGCGAAGGCAGCUUACUAAACUAUAACUGACACUGAAGCACGAAAGCGUGGGUAUCAAACAGGAUUAGAUACCCUGGUAGUCCACGCAGUAAACGAUGAUUACUAGGAGUUUGCGAUACACAGUAAGCUCUACAGCGAAAGCGUUAAGUAAUCCACCUGGGGAGUACGCCGGCAACGGUGAAACUCAAAGGAAUUGACGGGGGCCCGCACAAGCGGAGGAACAUGUGGUUUAAUUCGAUGAUACGCGAGGAACCUUACCCGGGUUUGAACGCAUUUCGACCGCUCCUGAAAGGGAGCUUCUAGCAAUAGCGAAUUGCGAGGUGCUGCAUGGUUGUCGUCAGCUCGUGCCGUGAGGUGUCGGCUUAAGUGCCAUAACGAGCGCAACCCUUAUUGAUAGUUACCAGCAUGUAAUGAUGGGGACUCUAUCAAGACUGCCAGCGUAAGCUGUGAGGAAGGUGGGGAUGACGUCAAAUCAGCACGGCCCUUACAUCCGGGGCGACACACGUGUUACAAUGGCGUGGACAAAGAGCAGCUACCAGGUGACUGGAUGCUAAUCUCCAAACCACGUCUCAGUUCGGAUCGGAGUCUGCAAC
Molecule: ribosomal RNA, 764 nt
Filed under: uncultured bacterium
Lineage: Bacteria
Description: bacterial SSU rRNA
Rfam family: Bacterial small subunit ribosomal RNA
Source: RNAcentral